AUGAAGUUGGAUUCGCUAGUAAUCGCGCAUCAGCCAUGGCGCGGUGAAUACGUUCCCGGGCCUUGUACACACCGCCCGUCAAGCCAUGGAAGCUGGGGGUGCCUGAAGUUCGUGACCGGAAGGAGCGACCUAGGGCAAAACCGGUGACUGGGGCUAAGUCGUAACAAGGUAUC
This 173-nucleotide ribosomal RNA is filed under the name uncultured bacterium. Its description in RNAcentral is "partial 16S ribosomal RNA". It matches the Rfam family "Bacterial small subunit ribosomal RNA", at positions 1320 to 1500 of the family's 1533-position model. The record is from RNAcentral.